Molecule: long non-coding RNA, 713 nt
Organism: Oncorhynchus gorbuscha (pink salmon)
Lineage: Eukaryota; Metazoa; Chordata; Actinopteri; Salmoniformes; Salmonidae
Exons: 2
Source: RefSeq, a predicted model, not a curated record
UAAAUUCAAUUGAUUGGACAUGAUUUGGAAUGGAACACGCCUGUCUCUAUAAGGUCCCACAGUUGACAGUGCGUGUCAGAGCAAAAACCAAAAGAGUAGCACCCUACAGACAAAAAAAAACUCUUAAACGAUGCCGAAAGAUAAUGAUUUUCCCGACACUGGUCAUAGACCCAUACAAGAUUACUUUGAAUGUAGCCAAAGGGAGAGUGAUAAGAUCAUUGUUUCGGAGACGCUGUUUGACAUGCCGGGAGAAAUAAAGGAACUUAAAAUCAAGAAAUUCAAUCAAGACAAAAAAAGACAAGGCCGAGCAUAAAGUCUACUUCUGGAGAAACCCUGACAAGGGAGGUCCUGUUCCCCCUCUCCAUGGCAGACGCAGGAGGGAUGCCGCUUACUUCGAACCACCCCAGUCUGAUCAACGCUCUACCAUCAGCGCCUCAUCGGCUUCCAGUCUGAUCAACGCUCUACCAUCAGCGCCUCAUCGGCUUCCAGUUUUUUAUUCAACGAGAGACUGGAAGGGCGGAGGUGGCCGCAGGCACGCGCAUCGACGAGAUGCCUCAACGGAAGGGGUAGAUUGAAACGACUAUCAGAGGUAGAGGAGACCGUUCACAUGGUCCCAGAACCCACGGGACUGAGUGUCUUUAAUUUAUCAAGCAAGAUAUUGAGCCCUGCCCAUGUCUCUUUGCUUAAUAAAGGGUUAUCUUUUGUGCCUACAA